UACGUAGGGUGCAAGCGUUAAUCGGAAUUACUGGGCGUAAAGCGUGCGCAGGCGGUUUUGUAAGUCUGUUGUGAAAUCCCCGGGCUUAACCUGGGAAUGGCAAUGGAGACUGCAAGGCUAGAGUUUGGCAGAGGGGGGUAGAAUUCCACGUGUAGCAGUGAAAUGCGUAGAGAUGUGGAGGAAUACCGAUGGCGAAGGCAGCCCCCUGGGAUAACACUGACGCUCAUGCACGAAAGCGUGGGGAGCAAACAGG
RNAcentral lists this ribosomal RNA (253 nucleotides) under uncultured bacterium. RNAcentral describes it as "partial 16S ribosomal RNA". It matches the Rfam family "Bacterial small subunit ribosomal RNA", at positions 524 to 776 of the family's 1533-position model. The record is from RNAcentral.